Molecule: RNA transcript, 3062 nt
Organism: Trematomus bernacchii (emerald rockcod)
Lineage: Eukaryota; Metazoa; Chordata; Actinopteri; Perciformes; Nototheniidae
Gene name: interferon-induced protein 44-like
Exons: 11
Source: RefSeq, a predicted model, not a curated record
UACAAGGUUUGUAGCUGCAGGUCCGCACCCAAAACACUUCAAUGUAGAUAACACCAAACAGGAUUCAACAACUACUGACACGUUAAGUCAUUACUUGAGGUAAACCUCACCACUUAUUUUCACGGACAUUUCAGCCGAGCUUUUGUUAAAGCCAUAGGAAACGACCAAUCGAAUUCCCCUCACCUCGUCUGCUGACUUCUAAAAUGGGCUUAUGGAAUUGGUUAAAAUCUAUUUUUCUGGGCGAUCCUCCCCCACCUUCUCCAAAAGUUCUGCCUCAAGAAUGGAGGAACGUUCCUUGGGGAAAACAAGCAGGAGACUUGCAGAUUGUGAAGGAAUACCAGCCUUUUAAAGAUAAUGUCCAGCUCAGAUUUAUGCUUUAUGGAUCUGUUGGUGCUGGCAAGUCCAGCUUCAUCAACUCUGUGGAAAGUGCUUUACGAGGCGAAAUAACUGAUCGAGCUAAAACAGAUGUGAUCGGUGGCAAGAGCUACACCACAAAAUACAAAGCCUACAAAAUCCAAAAAGGAGGACCAGGGACACAUUACCCUUUUGUCUUCAAUGACAUCAUGGGCCUCGAGAAGGAUGAAGGAGUUUGUCUGGAAGACAUCAAACUGGCCAUGAAGGGACACGUGAAGGAUGGUUACAAGUUCAAUCCUCGCUCUUCCUUGUCUGAGAAUGAUCAAUACUACAACAGAGACCCCUCUCUAAAUGACAGAGUUCAUGUUCUGGUUUGCAUCCUCCCUGGCAGCAUAGCAGGAUUGCAGCAUGAUUCUGUGAAAAAGUUGAGGGAAGUCAGACUUGCAGCCAGGGACAUGGGGAUUCCCGAAAUUGCUAUUCUCACCAAAAUUGAUGAAGCCUGUCCAGAGGUCGGCGAGGAUAUACAGAACGUGUAUAAGAGCAAGUACCUGAAGAACAAGAUUGAGGAGGUGAGUGGCGAGCUGGGUUUCCCACCAAGCUGCAUCUUUCCUGUGAAGAACUACCACUCAAAAGUGUUUUCCCGGGUACUUGACACCUUAGGUAUCAAGCAUGUGACAUCCAGCCCAUAUCAUCCUGAAAGUCAGGGGGGCAUUAGAGAGGUUUCACCAGACUAUGAAAUGCAUGUUAAGAAAACAUUGCCACGAGUCUCAUAAAGAUUGGGAUGACGGUGUUCCUUUAGUGUUAUUUGCUGCCCGUGAAGCUGUUCAGGAUUUAGUCCUGCUGAGCUAGUGUUUGGACAUGAGGUCAGAGGUCCUUUAAGAGUUCUUAAAGAGCAUUUGAUCAUGCCAACGAAAAACAAUUGCAGUAUCCCGGAGUAUGUCGCCAAACUUAGGGAUUGUCUACAUCGUGCUUGCUCCUUGGCUAGGGAAGCUCUGACCUCUACCCAGGGGAAGAUGAAGAAACGCUACGACCAGAAGGCGGUAGAGCGCUUGUUUCAGCCAGGUGACAAGGUGUUGGUUCUAUUGCCUGUACCUGGUUCUGCUCUGUCUACUAAAUGUUCUGGUCCUUAUGUUGUAGAUAAGAAGCUCGGUGAAACGAACUACGUCAUUCAAACACCUGACCGCAGACGUCCUACCAGAGUGUGUCACAUCAACAUGCUGAAGAAGUACUGCUCCAGGGAUGACCAAAAUGAGUCUUCCAAAGCUCACCAGGUGGGGACGACCGUCUCUCCUAUGGCUUCAGAGGGUGAGCUCAAAUGAGGAUGAGGAUGAGUUGGUGAUGCGCAGUGCAACACCACAGGGGGCAAGACUAAGCAAUACUGAGGUAUUGGCUGAUUUGCCCAAUUACUUGUCUCAUCUCCCUGAUAACCAAGAAAGUGAUAUACAGAAGCUGAUAGUUGACUUUGCAUGUCUUUUUAAUGACACUCCCUCACAAACUUCUGUCCUAGCUCAUGAUGUGGUCUUGACCAACCCUUUGCCGAUCAAACAGCGUGCGUAUCGAGUUAACCCAGUUAAAAGAGAGGUUAUGAAAAGGGAAGUUGAGUAUCUACUUUAAAAUGGAUUUGCAAGGCCUAGUUCCAGUCCAUGGAGUUCCCCUUGUGUGCUAGACACAAAGUCCGAUGGAAGUCCCAGAUUCUGCACUGACUUUCGCAAGGUUAAUGCUGUCACUGUCCCCGAUGCACACCCGUUACCGCUCAUUGAUGACUGCAUCGAUGAAAUUGGUCCUGCACAAUUUGUCAGUAAGCUGGACAUGUUAAAGGGAUACUGGCAAGUUCCUUUAACACAGCGUGCUUCCGAUAUCUCAGCCUUUGUGACACCUGACAGUUUCCUUCAGUACUGUGAUGCCUUUCGGUAUGUGUAACGCACCUGCCACCUUUCAGAGGCUUGUAAAUCUUGUAUUAGGACAUGUUCCAAACUGUAAGGCAUAUCUGGACGACAUUGUUGUCUAUUCUAAUGACUGGGCUAGCCAGUAUUCUGUGUUGUACUCCUGUUCUUUCUGCACCAGACUUUUCGAAGCCAUUCAAGCUCGAGGUCGAUGCCAGUGGAGUUGGGGCAGGGGCUGUUCUUCUACAAGAAGAUGCACAGGCCAUCGAUCACCCCCUAAUCAGCAGCUGAUCAGUCCCUGCCUGUGCACCUGAGUCUGAUGGCUGAUUGGAUCCUCUCACCCUCAGCUGGCCUAUCAGCAGCCAGGGCCGACCAUAAAGGAGGCACCCAGGAAGUCUUCUCCCUCUCUCUCACUCUGGGCCUGUUGCUGACGGAGGAGCCUGAAUUCGACUGCAGUGUUUAGAAAGUCAUUCUACCUUGUUUGUUCUGACCUUUGUGAAAGUGUGUGUGUUGAGAGGUGGGGGAGUUAGGUAAGUCUGGGGUACCCUGUACAUUUCUCAUCACGUAGGUAACUAAUGUUUAGACACUAGGUUAGCGGAUUGUUGCCACCCCUGUAUUCUGUUUUGUCCAGUUCUGAGUAGUUUAGUUAGUGAGGGUUUUUGUUUGAGUUUUGGUUUCAAAGGAUAGAUGUAGAGAGAGGCCUGGUUUUGUUAUGCUUAUUUAUUUUGUUUGGCACAGUCUCCUUUGUCUCCUCCUCCUCUUCACACAAAGAGUAUUUCUGUUCAGUUCUAGGUUUACAAGGAAUAAACCUUUUAUCAACCUUUA